GACUCCUUUACUGGAUGCGCUAGAUCUAUCCCAUUCUUUCUAUUCUUAGUGUAGUACCUGUUCUUACAUCAAUUGAAGAAUUAGGAGCACUUGGGUUGGAAAGGGAUCUGAACUCGACUCGUUAAGUCUACCUCUGCUCUUGAAUCUCUGCUCUUGAAUGCUGUUGAAGAGUUUCCAUUUGAAAGGAAGAAGUCACCCAUAAAGUGAGAAUGAAAGUAAACCAGAGGGGUCUCGUUGCUUGGCCCUUACUUGCAUUAUGUAUUUCGCUACCUACCUUGCAUCUUCCACACACAGAUUAGUCUACCGAUACUUUAGCAAAGCCUGUCCUUUAUUACUUUCAUUAUGUAUCUCACCUUUGAUUCCAGUAGUUCACCUAUAAGUCCCCCUUUUCUUUGCUUUCAUUGAGGUAAACUAUAUCCGGUUGAGCCAAGGCAGGGAGACCAACAAUCAAGCUAUAUAGAAUGAAAAGCAUUAGUUUUCGUUUUCAAACAAGUGUAAGUCAGAAUGUCUCGCUUAGGGGUUUCGAAAGGAUCGGAAGAGCUUCUUUAGUGUAAAGAGGUAAGGCUCGCUGGCAUUGAUUGAAUCCCUAUUUGGUUAGUUCCAUUCCAUUGGAGGAGUCGUUUUGCCUUGUUUUAACCGGCCCAAUUCUUAUUAGUAGUAGCUACAGCCCUAUCAAAAGGAAAGUCAGCCGGGAAUCGAGUAAGGAAGCUUAGGGACCCCAGGAGGAAAUACUUUAGGUCCAGCAGUGGCAGACUCGAACAAGAGCUAAGGAGUUCAAUUCCGGGGUCAUUAGCCGACACUUGGAGUUGGGAGUGCAAAAGUGAAGCUACCGAACAAGGCUUGGAGCUUUGGUUGCGGGGUCAGUUCUCUAGUUAGGUAAUUCAUAUUUGUUCUUCGGGGUUUCAGAAUGCAAAUAGGGAAUAUCAAACGAAUCUUUAUGUGGUGAAAUAAGAAAUGUCUCCCUUAGGUUCAGCCAGGGGUUUCAUCAGCUUUCAACUAACAAGCACGACUUAGAGUCAAGGGUAAGAUAAGAGGCCAUAAGGAUGGAUUGGACAUUGAACACAUAGUGGUAAGGCGAAGACUGCAGGAUCGAGUUCUUUAGUCUAGGGUUGACUCCUUGGCUUACUUGCUCGAUUCUGACUUGAUAGUGGGAUUCCUCUACAGCCCAGUUCCGUUUUGUCCUCUUAUGCUUCCUAGGCAUUCUUAUACUCAUUAAUGGAAUGGAAUUGACUAUGCCUAAUGGAAUUGAAUUAACUAUGCCGAUUCCUGUGCCUUAUUCCGAUUAUUAUGCUGGAGUGCAAUUAUGUAGUUUGAGUUUGGUUCGACUCCUCAACAGUUAAUGGACAGAGCCAGUCUUUCCGCGCUCAUUCCGAGUUGCGUUUCCUCCGUUUCCGUCCUAGCCCUCCUAUCACUAUUCCUCUUAGUCUCAUGCGCCAGUGGAUCGUACCAUACCACUACGACUUUUGUUUCUGGUGUCUAGGUUUCAUAGGCUUCAAAUGCAGAGGGCUCCUACAAUAGGCAAUAAGGCAGGGUCUCUCUCUAUAGACGUUAUAAGGCUUUGCGCUACCGUGGAGUAUGAUUGCUACGCUGUUGAGUUGUUCUAUAUUAUUUGUUUGACUAUUUCUUCUACCUAGAUGCACUACAUCGUACCCAUAUUAUUUAUACUAGGGUUAAAAGCUACAAGUAAUAUAAUUUAUUCGUCUGGGCGUAGCUCCACUCUCUUUAAUAAUAGGUCCAUGGAUUGGUUGUCAAGUAAGCUCAGUAGUAUUGGAAUGGACGAUAUUAACUAUCAAACAAGUCAGAAUGCGCGACACCACCAGUGAACAGGAACGCACAUGGGAUCGAACAAGAACCUAACUUGGAUUUUCUUAACGAGCACAGGAUCAACAAUAACAAUAAGGGCAGGUAGGGUCACAGCUUCUUUUCUCUAAGGCACGUUUCGGGCAGAUAUGAUUUGCACUUAAGUGCUCUGUUUUGUUAACCUCUUUAUAUGAGUGGAGAGUGAUAUGAAUUCAUAUAUGAGUUUCUAGUGCAGUUACAUAUUCUAGUUUCUAGUGCUGUUAAUUAUGUAUUAUAUGAUUGGUGCUAUAUAUUCUUUUCUUAAGGUAUAGUUUGGCAGUUAGGUUAGGUGUUGCGCUUAUAUCAUAUGUCUACUCAACCUAGGUCACCUAUUAUUCGAUUUUUGAACUACAUCCAACUUUCAACCUUACUCUCCGGUUUGAUCUAAAGCGGCGCACAUUUCUCACUUUGACACUUAGCGCAUUUAUGGAGUUGGGCUUCUUUAUCGUAAACCUUAUUUCUAGCCGUUGAGGUCUGACUAUGCUAAUCAUCUAUCAUCGAGCGAAAGGCUGUUAUAAAGCAUUGACGCCUAUUUUAUACAGGAUGACUUGUGAGCUCCCCUAACGCACUUGUUCUUUCGAAAGCCCCCUACUUUGUAAAGGAUAUGAGUAAUCAACCAAACCCCGAACUCUACUUUCCGCUGGCAGGAUACCCUUACUUUAGCACAGCUGACUGACUUGAUACUUUACCUGAAGCAGAAAUAGAUACUACACUUGAAGCCUAAUCUCCUAACGUGCUUAAUUAGCAUAGAACUUUGGAAUAUUACCUGCACCGCUUAACCUAAGCUUCUGGAAUGUAAACUACAUCUGAUCUUGUCGACUUUACUCGACCUGGAACAGGCAAUUCAGAUGCCUACAUUGGUGAUGAAAGGGCUCUUGCAAGGGAACAAACAAGGGAGUUCAAGGGCCCUAGGGCGGUGAAGUCUUUCCCGCGUACUUUCCAAGUAUAGAGAAGGUUCUGCUACGUGGGCUCAGUUAUGGGCAUACACGGGUUAAGCGAUGCAAAAGAUGGAUCUUAAGCCUCAGAUGGAAAGUCAAGUGCUUGUGUGAAACAAUUCCAGUCAAGUUCUCAUCUCAAACACAAACCACAGGAAACAGUCUUAAUUCCGUAAGUCUAUGUCGAAUAUCUUUCCUUGCACUGAACAAGCGUUAGGUGGGAAUUCAUUCGGUAAGCUGUAUGAGAAUAAGAACCCGUAAGCCGUUGCUAAGGUUAGCUUGUCUCUGACUUUUGAGUGUCAUUCUCCCACUAUUCCUGGCAAUUCAAUUAAUGUCGAGUUCGGAAAUGAAAAAGAAAAGAAAAGCUACGUCCGUUAUCGAGGUGGAAGCGGCGGUAUUGCUUGCCAGGUGUUCAUUCAUCGUAUCUUCCUACUAGUGAAAUCAGAUAACAAAGUAACCAUGGCUCAGGUCCACGAGUGCCACUUUCCAUUUCUCAAAGUGACUUAAGGAAACGUUAAGGCAAGCAAGGACGCUACGAGUCUUGUAAACAAGCCGAACUGCCUGAGCUACCUGGCUUUUCAAGACCAUUAGAGUAGUUAACCCAACAGAAAAACGUGAGCGGCUUUCAAUUAGAAGUUCAGCUCGAGUGAACACGGCCUUUUACUUCACUAUUCAUUAUUAUAUAUAGAGGUAUAGACUAUUCAUUAUAUAUAGAGGUAAUGGUUUUACUUCACUAUUCAUUAUAUACCUUUUACUUCACUAUUCAUUAUAUAUGGGUAGGGGCUUCCUUCUAUUUUCUUUCUUUUCAUUAGUCAAGCUUCAGCUUUCGAUGAACUCCGUCUUUUUCCUUUGGCUUCCGCCUUGCCCUAACCCUAAGUAGGUGCCUUAGUUUACAAUUUCACCCUUGUUUUUCUUUAGCUAAGGAAUGCCAGCUACCAGACUGAGCUACCCUAGCAACAAGAGAUGCAACAGCUGCAAGCCGAGCUGCCCUACAAGAAAAGCUAGCUGACCCGGAUAUACAACUUUGCAACUAGUCUAUUCGCACACCAAAAGAUAUUUGACUUUAGUACUACCUUCAGUACGACAAGGGGCUGUAUAACCCCAAAGAGUGAAUCUCUAACAACGACACAAGCUGUUUCACUUUCAAACUCGGCAUUCUAUGGUGCCUGACCCUAAUCCACUUACGGAAUUGGAAGGAACCUGUUCCCCUUUCAAAAGAAUUCAGAUGGCUAAUAUAGAGUCCGGGGGGCUACUAAAUAUCUCCUUUACCUAAUAGAGCACUAAAGUCAAUUCCAUAGCUACCUUCUCUAUCUCUUGGAUCCCUUUCAUGUAAUUAGCCUUAACGGCCUAAAGGUUUACUAAGUUAGUGGAGUAUCGACGGCGUAGUGAGUUCUUUCUUUUAAUCGUAAAGGCAGGAACUUGAAUCGAAUCCUUAUUUCUAACUACAGCAAGGCAAGCCGAGCUAACAGAGCGAAACAGCCCCACUUGGUAGUUUGAAGACAAGGCUUCUACCAACUAGGAAAGGGAUAGGUUUGAGACUACUAAGCUACUAGUCUCCCCAUCCCCGAUCUCUUAAAGCUUAUUUCUCAAAGGAAGCUAACAGGGUGGGUUUGGCCUAACUUAGCCGCAAGACAAGACUGAGAUCGAAGUGUGGUAUCUUAAACCUACAGGGAAGGAGAUAUUAGGAGAAAGCGCUAUUUACUAGCCACUUGCUAGGCCACGGAACCAGCGAACAGAAACAACGUUAGCUCCGUGAAGUAGAGUACGCAUCUUAGUACGCUAAGGAAUAUGAUUAGUAAGACAGACGUACCCUUAUUGAUUGCGCAAUUCCACUCUCGCCUUAUUUCGUUUCGGCAUUCACUCGAGCUAGGAAGCCAGCUAGUCGUACUCACCGUUUUCCGUCGUGUCUUGAAGGCGUGCCCCCGUCCGCCCCAACCUAGGAACAAAACAAAGACGUUGCGUUUCCCUUUUGGGGGUGAAAAACAUCCCACAGUAUAGUGAUAGUGCCCGGUCCACAGUUGAAGAGUCCGCCUUCCCUUGAAAAACACCACACAGAGAAAGGGUUCUAGUACAGAUGCUCCGGAAUAUGAUUAGUAAGACAGACGUAGAAAGUGCAGAUUACUAUAGCAGCAAAAGCAAAUAGAUCCUUGUUCGAGUGUUCUUAUGGUGUACCCGUCUGGUCUACUAUAGUCUUUUCACCGUCGCUAGCAACGGCCCACCAAAUGGCACAACCACAGUAGCAGCCUUUACUAUCUCUUGCUCUGGUCUACGCUCCCCGAGUCGCCACCCUCAUUUACAACUAUAAACAAACAGAACUACUACGGAUAUACUUUUCUUAUGGCAAACCAUUCGAUUGAAUGCAAUCUAUGAUUCAAUGACACGAAAAAGAGAUAGAAACAAUAGUUUGGAUAUACAGCUAGAGUAUUGGAAAAGCAGCUGCAAAAUCAACAACGGGCACAGUCUAUCGUAGAUCCCACAUGAUGCCUUGCACCCUCCCUCACCAAACCUUGUCUCCCGCUUAGAAACUUGCUUUGAGUCGAGCUCACUUUCGAUUUCGCCCUGUAUUGCUAUUUUCUAUUUGCCAAAUGAAAUCAUAUCCGCCCAUGCCCGUCGGUAGUCAUCUCGAUAGUAAUCAUCAUAGUGAGUGCCGAUCUUUCAGAGCGGCCAGUAAGAGGUGUGUGUUGAUGUUGAUCAUUAAAGGUUUGCUAUGGUAGGUCGAGCCAUGGUACUACAGGAGUUCCACUGUUCAGAUAGACUCAUGAAUAAGGGCUUCCUUUUUCGUUUUUCCUCCGCUGGCAUAUGUAUUUUCUGCAUUUUGUUUGGGAGUCAAAGCAGUGGUGAGACUGUGUCUGGUAAGCUUACGAGUUCUACUGUGGGACGGGAAGAAUAACAAGCAGUGUAUAGUAUAGAAGAACUAAUAUUGGUAAUUACAGAGGAAGAGGUCGAAAUUAGGACUCCCAAGAACGCACACAGGACACAGAUCCUUACUCUUUUCCUUUCGCCAACUAGAACCGGGGGUAGGGGUCAAAUGCUUUUUCUAUAAAGAAAGAGAAGAAGAAUAUAGCUAGCUUCACACAUACAUGAAUAUAGCCAGCUUCACGCUCAUCCUAAAGAAUCACAUAUAGGUGCAGCAGCCUCUACAUUAAGGACAGAGGCAGAGGAUAAGUCUCGGUGGGCUUACUCCUUACUUACUCCUUACUGACUCAUAACUCACUCCUUACUUCUAACUCAUAACUACUAACUUCCUUCCUAGCCUAUUAACUUCUUGAAACAAGCCCAGCUGCUGGCAACACAGAGCCACUUGCAACAGGCUCGGAUCUGGUUUCGUUCUUAGACUACUUAGGUUCAUUCUGACACCCCGGGGAGGACUGGUAAGGCUGUUACUACCAAGUUGCAUUCUAAUACUUAGCAGUUACAUUCUUUGACUAGCUUCUUCAAUUCCCUUAGUUUCAGGUUAGCGAGUCAACUUCCUGGUUUUCAUUCUGAGUUGAACUAGCUCCGUUCUAUGACUUACUGGUUGAAUUCUUACUUCACUAUACUAGAUGCUAGGUCUUCUCAAUAAAACAUAGCGGUGUGGACAAUCGGUAGGCAACAGAUACUAGCUAUAGCCUGUAACUACCCAGAGCCCCAUACUGUAACUCCUUGGGUUAAGCCUGAGCGGACAGUAGUAAAGCCUGAGAUGCACUGGUUUGAGUCUGUAACUGCCUUACUUCAUUCUUUGACUUGCUAGCUCCAGUCUUAGUCUGUAGAGUGCAAUUCCGUAAUUCCUACUUAUGAGCUUGCUGGCUCUUCUCUGAUCCUAAACCCCUGGCUCUGCUCUAACUGGUUCUGCAGCCCUUUUGCCUUGGAAUAGGAUGAAAGAGUAUAGAGUGAGUGGAAUAUGUAUUAGUAGGCGGUGGUCAACACCUCUUUCCGGUAGUCGAAGGUAAGCCUCGUUAGGUUAGCUCGUCCGGUAAGAAAAAGUGCAAGUGACUUCUAGGAUUUCGAGUUCCGUGCUCUAGGGCUUUGACUUCUCAUAAGGAUCACUUUUGGAAAUAGCGAACCUGCUGCUUGCUCGUGGCUUGUGCUAAUGCAACUCGGGAAUGAGGGCAGGCUACUGUCAGACUACUUGCUCUUUGUCCCUAACUCUGUAGCUAAUAAGUCACACUGCUUCCUAUGAUCACUCGACUCCCAGAGCUCCGUUAGUGCAAGUAAAAGAUGCUAUAAAGUCUCCAAUUUGGUCAGAUCUUAACUAAUUAAUAUACAAAACUCGCUAACGCUUGGCUUAACUCAACAAGCAACGGCAAUAAAAGAGUAAUUAAGUGGAGGCUAAGGAAAAGAGUCAUUAAGUAGAGGCUAAGGCUGCUAAUAAGGAUGGUCUUCUUUAAGCAAUGGAACAAACUACGGAAGAAGAGAAGUAUUACUCUCAGGUCUAACAAACGCCGGAAUAAGCUUAGGCACAAUAAUAAUCAAAUAAGUAACGGCUAGAAUCAUAAUAAAAUAAAGUGAAGUGAAGUAAUGGCUAGAUAGAUCCAAAAUGUAAGUGCAUAUAUGAUAGAAGUAAGAUAGUAACAAACCACAGCUUAUGAAUAAUAUAGUGCAUAUUCCAUAAAUGAUAGUAGUCGUCGUUGUGCAUUAGUGAGUGAGAAUAAGAAUAUAGGGUAGGGUUAGCACUGUCCGUACUUACUGUUGUUGCAAGAGAAGGAGAAAGACACUCAGGUCAUUCGAAUUGCAAUAUGUUAAGUCCUAGCAAUCGAACUCUCCUUGAAGUGGAGAAUGUUAUAAAGCAAUAACACUCUCUUACAUGACUUGCUCCCAGGAUUCUAAGAUAAGAAGGAUGAGAAUGAUAAUAAGGAUAAUAAGCGGUGCUAGGAAAGGAGACCAGAGCAGAGCAGGGGCAGAGCUAGUAGUUUCUUAUGGGCUUGUCUGCUUGGCUGUCUCUUUGCUCAUUGAACUGUCAACAACUCUCCCUGAUGCCACUAAGUCUGGGUCUUGACUUUAACUGUAUGAAGAAUUAAUGGAAUCUUUAGUGCCUACCCUAUAUUGCCUACCCUAGUAGAUGAGAAUAGUCAUAUUGUUUUGAAUCUUACCUCAUUAUAUUAUACCUUGUUUUGUUGCAGCUGACGCUCCUGCUACUGCUGAUCUUACUCUUCCUUAAAUAGGUGGGUAGGCGCAUGCGCAUCCCGAACAAGACACUGUGAUUGAAUUGUGCCUGGUCUACUGCCUUCCUAAGCAUUCUAUUUCUAUGGAAAGGAUUAUUUACAAGAACAGAACCCUUCUUCACUAAGAACAGAACCUUUCUUCACUGACAAUACAGUCAACGGCUAACUCAACUCAAGCAAGCUACCUUUCUGAAAGCUGGAAGAAACCUAGCUUCUUAUGUUGUAGGGCCUGUACCUGACUUGCCCUUACUUAUUAAGCGGCUUGCCCCUUCCUAUCUUUGCCCUUGUAGUAUACGCUUGGCGAAUAUAAUAAGAAGUUCCAUGUUCAAUUCCCCAGGUGUUGGCGACGAGGCAGGAAGUUCAUGAGUGGAAUCGACUCUCGAAUCAGAGGUUCCGCUUUCAAGAUGGGGGGACUAGAAAAGAAAGAAAGAGAAAGAUAUGAAGCGGGUAGGUAACAUUAUUCUAGUUCGGGUGCUCCAAAUACAUAAUGGAAAUUGUGAAAUAGAAUAAUCAACUGCUGAAGUAAAGUAUCUAGGAGUUGGCACAGGAUCAGAUUAAGGAUCGCAGGUAAAGAUGCAAGAGCAAGGAGGGCUAGAUUCAUAUUUCUUAAAGAAACAAAGUAGCUCGCAAAAGAUCAAUCAGUAUUUGUUGAGUCGGCCCAAUAAACAAGUGUAUGGUUCGCCAGUGAAAUCUUUGACUUCAUAACAAGCAACGUGGAGUUGAGCUGAUUGGUUACCACCAAUUAUGUUUUAGGGGGCAGAGUGGAACAUGGGUAUUACCACCAGACGAGAAUAGAAUGGCCUUAUUGACCUUUGACUUGAUUAUGGCCUUCUUCAGUGCCCAGCUCUUUCACGAAGACAGGUGAACUCAGGUAAUACUUAAUGCGGAAGUUAACUACUCGGUUUUUCGAGUUAUUUUGUAUUUUGGUUAUUUUAUUACAAUACCCCACCUUAGUACAAGUCAGUCCACCACCCUACCCGAGCCUUGUAAUAGAAUGAUGAGUUGCGAUAACUACCCAAACACAAGCACGGAACCAGUAUCUGAGUCCCCCUCACCAAAACCCGAGAAAGUACGACGUAUUAACUGACGUUGCUUCUGGUGUCUCUAGCGGUUCCAAUCCAAUCAUGACUAGUGUCUCCUAGCUUACCGAAGUCAGCGAACCCCUUUGCUUUGUUACAAAGACCUCUUUCGGAGAAUUUCGCUACAUCUUUUCGAAAACUCAUUUCCAUAUUUGAUACCACUUCUUUUACAAUUCAUUUCCAUAUUGUCCACUCCACUACUUCUUGUACAAAAGAAACUCAGAGCUCAUCUCAUCUCUGCAGGGAACACCGCUUUAGACGCGAAUAAACGCUCUAUAGGCGAAAAUCCUCCGCUCUAAGUGACAAGGGACGAAAGCAGAAAGGACACUCUAAAAACGAAACAGCAGCCAAGAAGCCGAACACACAGCUGGAGUAAACAAGUAACAGCAGCGAAUAAUGGCACCAAAUGAAUAAGAAAGCGAAGGACAACGAGGGAGGGAAAGCGGAAAGGAAGAGUAGCUCAGAUAAACCAAUGAAACAAGCAACCUAGCCUAACAGUAACGUCCAAACAACCAACGGCGGAAUAAACACGCGCAUAGCUGACGCGAUAACAACAGCUCAAAAACAUGUGUAGUAGACCAUCCUUAGAAGCACUGACAUAAUACCAAGCUCAUGAACUACCCAGCGGAUCAAACUCCCAAGAAGUCCAAUUUCCGGAAAUACGUCCUAUUAACCUUAUCUAGAGCCGAUGCAACGAAAGAAGUAGCAGCUAUCCAAAGAGAAGAAAUAGCUCAAAGGAUAGAAAAGGCUCCAUUGUGUCUUAGUAUUAUAGUAGCUAAGGAGCAUCACGCAGAGAUGGGGCACUACCACUUUCAUAUUGGAAUACUCUUGGAAAAAGGAGUUCAUAGAUUAAGCGCUAAGAGAACCUUUAGGAAGUUGUUCCCUGAAUUCGAGGGGGCACAGCUAUAUGUGUCAUUUCACAGGGCACACACGUCUGUGUGUAAGUAUGCUAUGAAAGAAGAGAAAGAGCCAUUCGUCUGGGGAAAACAGUAAACCAGCCGGAUAAAAGAAUCUGUUAAGGCUCAAGAAAUGCAAAGAACAAUACCUGAAAGAAACCAAUGGGUUGUGCAACGGCUAUAAACCUAUGAUAACUGGGAACAAGUGUAUCAAGAGCCAGAAAUAGUAAAGAUGCUCGUGUAUCAAGAGCCAGAAAUAGGCAAGAUGCUCUUCUCGUCUUACAACUCCAUAAAGGCGGUUUUCGAAGAUUUGCAAGGAAUCAGAGAAAGCGAACUCCGCCUAGAUCAAAGGUUUGAAAGCUACUUGGAGCAAAGAGGGUGGCCAGAAGAAUACACACUACAAUAGCUAAAGGAAAAAUGCUUCCUAUUCGACUGGUUAGCAACGAAUCUUAUCUUUGGUAGGCCCAUAAAGACAAAGCUGCUGUUGUUAUAUGGAGAAAAGACAAAGCUGCUGUUGUUAUAUGGAGAGCCAAGCACACAGAAAACACUCUUAUUUCACACAGAAAACACUCUUAUUUGAAAUGAUGGGGGAAGUCUUGAACGAACAUAUACCACGCAUCCAACAGAAAGAAUGACUUCAAGGGGGUACAUUAUCAUUAUGAUUUAUGGUUGUUCGAUGAAUUCCAUGUAGCAGAAGACGAGAACCUGAAGGCGGGCAUAGGGAAAGCUAUCAUUGCUGUUGCCAAUAACACAUUAGAAAAGGGUAUUGGAUGGGAAGCAGUGCAGGUUAGACACCCAGUAUGGCAAAAUGUUCCAUAAGAAAAGGAAUGUACCCGUUGUCACUAUCACUAAUGACCCAGUAGGUUGUAUACGAGAGAAGGGAAAUGACCCAGUGGGUUGUAUACGAGAGAAGGAACCCUUCCUAGAAAUAUUCAUGAGGUUACGCUUCACAAGCAAGAGACCCUCGUUAAAGGCGGAAAGGGGAAUCGAAACUAUAUAGGGGUGUAUACUAAGGAGGCUCGGCUCCUACAAAUGGGAGUACGGUGGGAUCAGGCCAAGGACAUACACAUUAUUGCAUAUAAUGAAGAGGAAGCGACCAUACGCAUGCUGCUAAAGAGCUGCCAACCACUGCUAAGAACACACCAACAAUGGAACGUAUUCGGACUAGGUGAUGUAGAGAGGAAUAUCAUACUGGGAGGCAGGGCUACACAUUACACUAUGAGCAAACAAAGCCGGAAACUCACUGUAGCUUGCAAUGUACCUAUGAGCAGAAUGUUUCCACAUGAGCACAUACACUUUAAUGCACUGGUUAGUUUACAACAAAUGUGCUCCGGACAGGCAAUGGGAGAUGGGGAAGCUCUCAAAGAAAGAAGCAAGGACCGACCCUAGCGCUCCUACAAUGCGCCUACGUACCAAUACACCCCUGCAAACAGAGGAGCUACAAAACUCAGGGGGAUGCAAUGGAUGUUAAGGAACACUUACCAGAGGAAGGGAAGUGGAGACGAGACCCUUACGUAUUGGAGUAAUAACAGAGAAACCAACCGAGGACAAGCGUGGGACUGAGCAAGACGAAACAGGGGGUGGGUGUUUGUAUGAGAAGAUGUAAAGGUGCUAAGAGCCUUGUUAUGCGGCGUCGCCUUGGAAAACCUAUGACGAAAAAGGGGUUGUAUGGGAAGAUGUAAAGGCUUGACCUUCUUAUGCAGCGUCGCCUUGGAAAAACGAUCCUAUAUAGAAGCAUGCGGCGUCGCCUUGGAAAACCUAUAUAGAAGCAUUAUGGCUAUCCAACAAUAUUGCCUUAACAUACACAAACAUACACACAUAUAGAUGCGGGGGACCUACACACAUAUAGAUGCGGGGGACCGACCUAGAAAGAUAGAUCUCUUCAAAGGAGGGUGAGGCUUAUGGUAGUUGCAAUAAGGACAUAGAAAAGGGAGAAAUUAAGGACAUAGAAAAGGCAGUGAGAUGAGAAAUACGGAAUGGGGGAGUAGGUGCUCCUGCCUUACUUAAUUGGUGAGUGGGUGCUCCUGCCUUUAUGAGUGGGUGCUCCUUCCUUUAAGAAUGGGGUGGACCGAUGUGGGUGCUCCUGCCUUUCUUUAAGAAGAGAGUUGACUUACCGCUACUCCGAUACAUCUACUAAUAGUGCCAAAGCUUAGUUCUAUUGAGUUGUUUGAUAGAUCCAAUUCUUAACUGAAAAGAUAGGUCGGCUACAGGUAAGGGUGAUUUAGUUUCAAGAGCAGAAGCGGGAGUAGGAAAUGUAGACAAGAACAGGAACAGGAGUGAGAGUAGGCUCGGCUCCUAUAUGCCUAUGGCUCUUUUCACUCUGCUGGCAUACUACACUGUUUCCUCUAUUAUUAGUUAUUAUCUCUAAUGUCUUCGUGAAUGCAAGUUAUUAUAGUGAUACUUGGAGUUAGGGUCAACAGAUACUUUUAGUUGGUAGUCCAAGAAUGAUAUAGCAGUAAGUAAGGUAGGAAAUAGCAGUAAGUAAGGUAGGAAGGACAUACUCCGGGAAGAUAAUCGGAAUGUGGGGUUGUUAGUUUCAAAGGUAUAAGUAGCGGAAGUCGAGCUCAAGUCUAGUGAAUAAGUAAAGUAAAGCGGGAGGCAGACCCAUUAGCUUGCAUUAGAGAAUGAGACACGAACAGGCAGGACACUAAGACAGGACAUUAAUCCCAAGAGUCGGUGGAUAUAAGAUUUUCCGCGAGUAAGGUAAGGUGUGUUGGCGUGGGAAGGGCCAAGCUACUAAUACAAAUAGGGAGAGUUGACAGCUGCUAGUUGAGAUGAGCAAGAGGGAGGUUUAGGAUAUCAGAGUUGCGGUAAAUCCUAUGGUAGUUCCUUGGCUGAUAGCUUCGUUAGUCUAGUGGUUGACUCUACCUCUGCUCUGAUUCAUUGACUCUACUUUGAAUAAUGAUGUUGACUUAACGUAGUUGCUUGCCGAGUGGAAUUACUUAAUGAAAGUUCCAGUUUUGUUAUUGCUAGUUGAAAUCUUGCUAUCCGUGGUUCAAUUCCUUAUUUCGUGUUUCGUAGUUCGAGCAAUGCCCCUUUAGUCUCAUUCUUUUACUACUAGAUUGAAUGCUUACUGCUGAGUAGCACUCUUGACUAUAUGAGUGAGAUACCCUAGCGAUAGAGACUUUCUUUAACUAACAAACAAUACUUUGAGCUGGGAGAGGCAGACCCACAGUAGCAGUGUCGGCCUUACCGGUACCAGUGAAAUUCUCUAUUAUCUUAUUUCAUCUUAUAGUGAGUCGCGGAAGAAGUUAGCCCCGGGAAAGUAAGGGCUGCUUUAGAUGGCUAGGUUACUAUAUACUAAUAUACCAAUAUCCGAAUAAAACACUACAUUGUGGAGUCGAGCUACUAUCCCUAAAACAACAACUUGACAACUAAGGCCUUAUCUACUCCCUAUUAGUAUUGCUUGACUUGCUUUGAAACUGAUAUCCCCAACUCCUAAAAGUCGUAAGCCCUGUCUGUUAGCUAUACCAUAACUCUACGUCCUGGGGCCCCGUUCGCUUCUUCAGUUUCGAGUUAAGUGAUAGUCCCCUAGUUGGAAGCUUAAUAGUAAGGCUCGGAGUCGAGAGUAAGAAAUCCGAAUUAGUUGACUGACUUGGCGGUCAUUAGUAGUUACUUGGCGGAGAGGAAAGGAAACAGAGAGGAAAUACAUUUUCCAUUCCAGCUUUUCAGUGCUAACCAGAGCAGAGCAAGAGGUAAGAGGUAUGAGGUGUAGCGGGAAGUCUAUUCAUUUGAAAACUAUCUGAAUUAUGAAAUAAGUCUAUUAAUGAAGGAAUAUAGGUCAAUAGGGUAGUUCAUGACUUUCUACGUUGCUUGGCUCUUGCUCUAGUAUACGCUUGCCCUUUUCGUGGGGCAUAUGCGAUUGAAUCUCUAGAUACUAUUUCAUCUCUCUCAUCUAACAACUAAGCUAGUCGACUUGUCACGCUCUCUUUCCACUAUCUACUUUUACUCUUUAGUGCUUUAUGACUUUUUUCCUCCUUGAUUGACACGAUGGGUUCUUCAGCAAACAAACCUUUAUGUGGUCGACCCAGAUAAUGAAUCAGCGGGAUAUUCAGCAGGAAGUAAAGUGGAGUGCGGUUAUAAAAGUUAAUGAGUUUCAUCCUAGUCUUAGAGCGGGUCUUCAAGGGGAGUUCGAAAGGCAGCAGUAAUCGAGUCUUAAAGUCAAAUAUAAGGAGGUUCUUCUUGUCGAGGAAAGUCAAGUUUCCUUCUUUCUUGUUAAGUAAACGAGAGAGUAUGCUAAUGAAAGAUCAGGAUCAGAAACAGGUAGGUCAGAAUGCCCAGAAUCUUAAGUUCCGAGAUAAAGCAGUUCAGGUUCAAGUAAGCAAUGCAGAGUAUCAUAUAGAAAAUUAGGUAAUUAAAGAAGAAGGAAGAGGUUAAGCGGUAGCGGUAAUUGGUUCAACAAAUCUUGUUCUGUAUGCGCAUGCGCCUAUUUCCUUAUAAGGAAGCAGUGAGGAGUCCGCGAAGUAAGCAAUUCUAGUAUUGUCUACAAUAGAAUCAUCCGCAGUAACAGAAUCCGUAGUUCUAGGAUCUUCCCCCGCUGUAUAAGAAUUAACGGAUACUGACGCUGAUGCCACUGACGCUAAAACCACUGAGUCUUCUUGGGCCGAGUAAAGUGAAACGCGUCACCAGUCCUUGAAUAUUUCUUGCUUGUGAAGAUAAUUAGUAUUAAGAAUUGAUUGAGUGCCACCUGUUCUAGAUUGAAGUCACUUUAGACCUAUUACUGAUGCGGCUAAUGCUAACUCUUCUGCUCUAUCCGUGGACUCAACAAAUACAGAAUUGACAGUUGAUCGAGCGCCUGUAAGAGAUUCUUCCCCAAUAACAACAACUUGAAGAAUGAGAUGAAACUUUAGCCACCGAACCUUCUUCUAAAAAUAAGGCUUCUGCGCAUUAUGUGUUGGGGGCAGUAAUAGCUUCGGAUCCUGAUCUCGUAGACAAAACCAAAAAAGAAAGAGAUUUGUGUACUGAUGCUAUAUAUAGGAAUGUACCUUAACCGAGUUGUAGAGUAGGUUGGGAGGAAUGUACCUUAACCGAGUUGUAGAGUAGGUUGGGGCAAUCAGAUCUCACUUGACAGGCUUUGAAGCGGGUAAGGAGAGAAAGGGGAGUGAUUGUGCCAACAAGUAGUUUCGUAGCUAAGAGCUUCUUUGGAGCAAGAUCAGAGGGAUAGGGCAUCAAAGGCUGUCUAAUUAAUAGAGGCCAAGCGUAUACUAACAUGGGGCGGCAGGAGCACUAGGGGUUGGUUAAGAGCAAUAGGGUAGCUAUUCCAUCUCAAUACCCGGCAAAGGAUUCAGUUUCCCCAGAAUCAAGGGAGCAAUAGGAGAGAAUUGAGAGAUAUGGGAGCCGGAGUUAUAUGAAAUGGAUAACCGCCCAACAACUACGUUAUUAGUAACAUGUGCAUUCCUACUUUCCUUCCUACUUUCCUUUGCCUAACUAUAAUUGAAGCUUCUUCUCUUUACGACUUCACUCGAUCCGCCAUUAAGUCUAUUUAUUGUACAUGCUUGGCCCACGAAGACAGGACUCGGUAAGGGCACCGAACUAAUAUUGAUUCUUUUACUUAUAGCAGUUAGAACGGAAAAGCCUUUACUUGAAACUACUAGCUCUCUCUUUCACUCAACUACUAGCUCUGGUAUUCCUAAACUUCCACUCCCUUUCUAUUAGCCGAGUAAACACCGAAAACUUCCACUCCCUUUCUAUUAGCCGAGUAAACACCGAGUAUUAGGCUUGAAAUGUACAUUGAUUUAAAGGACAGACGCAGAGGAGAGAGAGAAUCCGUUGGGUCUGGUACUUGCUAUGCGAGGCGAUAGUAGCAACAAGACUAGAGUGAUGAGCAAGUAAAGGCAAUAUUCAUAUUAUUUCUGCUUGACCGGUACUAUUCACUCUAUUUUCCAUGAAUUCUCGGUCUGGGCCCCUACUUGCACAUUUAUUCCUAUGAAAUGGUCUACUUAUUUUUAGACUGAGAUGGCUGCUCUUUCGACGGCCGGACUAAAAACCCCACUUAUACUUUAGUGCUUUUCCCGAUAGUAUCUAACCCUUGAGCAUGUAAUUGCCCUGAGGAAUUGAUCCCUACUAGACGUAAACUAGUUGCUUCGCUUCCAUCGGGUUACGUACUCUUUACUGGAGAGCUACCCGCAUUGCCUUCCCGACUUAGCCUUCGCCUUUCACUUUUCCAGUAUGGAGGGAUAGAAGAGUUUGUUGGAUACAUAACGCCAUCUAUCUCUCCUCUCAGUUUACAGGUAAUCCAAUGUUGUUGAAUGUACGAGCAGGAAAGAUUUCCCUUGAUUUGAGCAUGACCUGCCUGAUGAAAUAGGCCCAGCAACUAUUAGCCAAGUCACGUAUACAAACACAUAGCAAGCAAUAACAGAAUUCUACCCUAUUUCUUCUAUGCUAUGAGACCAUCUUUGGCAACGGGCACUAAGCAGUGUAUUUCAA
RNAcentral lists this long non-coding RNA (16316 nucleotides) under Musa acuminata (dwarf banana). RNAcentral's name for it is "long non-coding RNA (MACU_LNC007843)". The record is from RNAcentral. Lineage: Eukaryota; Viridiplantae; Streptophyta; Magnoliopsida; Zingiberales; Musaceae.